RNAcentral lists this ribosomal RNA (447 nucleotides) under uncultured Streptococcus sp. Its description in RNAcentral is "bacterial SSU rRNA". It matches the Rfam family "Bacterial small subunit ribosomal RNA", at positions 355 to 794 of the family's 1533-position model. The record is from RNAcentral. Lineage: Bacteria; Bacillati; Bacillota; Bacilli; Lactobacillales; Streptococcaceae.
UAGGGAAUCUUCGGCAAUGGGGGGAACCCUGACCGAGCAACGCCGCGUGAGUGAAGAAGGUUUUCGGAUCGUAAAGCUCUGUUGUUAGAGAAGAACGUGUGUGAGAGUGGAAAGUUCACACAGUGACGGUAACUAACCAGAAAGGGACGGCUAACUACGUGCCAGCAGCCGCGGUAAUACGUAGGUCCCGAGCGUUGUCCGGAUUUAUUGGGCGUAAAGCGAGCGCAGGCGGUUCUGUAAGUCUGAAGUUAAAGGCAGUGGCUUAACCAUUGUACGCUUUGGAAACUGCAGGACUUGAGUGCAGAAGGGGAGAGUGGAAUUCCAUGUGUAGCGGUGAAAUGCGUAGAUAUAUGGAGGAACACCGGUGGCGAAAGCGGCUCUCUGGUCUGUAACUGACGCUGAGGCUCGAAAGCGUGGGGAGCAAACAGGAUUAGAUACCCUGGUAGU